Molecule: ribosomal RNA, 481 nt
Filed under: uncultured bacterium
Lineage: Bacteria
Description: partial 16S ribosomal RNA
Rfam family: Bacterial small subunit ribosomal RNA
Source: RNAcentral
AAUCAACGCUGGCGGCGUGCCUCAGACAUGCAAGUCGAACGAUUAAAGCUCUCUUCGGAGAGUGUAUAGAGUGGCGCACGGGUGAGUAACACGUAAGUAAUCUACCUUCGAGUGGGGAUUAACGUCCGGAAACAGACGCUAAUACCGCAUAAUGCAGCGGCAUCGCAAGAUGACAGUUGUUAAAGAUUUAUCGCUUGAAGAGGAGCUUGCGGCAGAUUAGCUAGUUGGUAAGGUAAUGGCUUACCAAGGCUACGAUCUGUAACCGGUCUAAGAGGACGGUCGGUCACACUGACACUGAAUAACGGGUCAGACUCCUACGGGAGGCAGCAGUCGGGAAUUUUGGGCAAUGGGCGAAAGCCUGACCCAGCAACGCCGCGUGAAGGAUGAAGUAUUUCGGUAUGUAAACUUCGAAAGAAUAGGAAGAAUAAAUGACGGUACUAUUUAUAAGGUCCGGCUAACUACGUGCCAGCAGCCGCAGUAA